GAUCAUGGCUCAGGAUGAACGCUGGCGGCGUGCCUAACACAUGCAAGUCGAACGAAGCAAUUUAACGGAAGUUUUCGGACGGAAGUUGAAUUGACUGAGUGGCGGACGGGUGAGUAACGCGUGGGUAACCUGCCUUGUACUGGGGGACAACAGUUAGAAAUGACUGCUAAUACCGCAUAAGCGCACAGUAUCGCAUGAUACAGUGUGAAAAACUCCGGUGGUACAAGAUGGACCCGCGU
RNAcentral lists this ribosomal RNA (239 nucleotides) under uncultured bacterium. RNAcentral's name for it is "partial 16S ribosomal RNA". It matches the Rfam family "Bacterial small subunit ribosomal RNA", at positions 15 to 236 of the family's 1533-position model. The record is from RNAcentral.